RNAcentral lists this ribosomal RNA (419 nucleotides) under uncultured marine eukaryote. RNAcentral describes it as "SSU rRNA". It matches the Rfam family "Eukaryotic small subunit ribosomal RNA", at positions 612 to 1035 of the family's 1831-position model. The record is from RNAcentral.
GUUGCGGUUAAAAAGCUCGUAGUUGGAUUUCUGUCGGAGACGCGCGGUCCGCACUAUGUGCGUGUAUCUGUGUCGGCUCUGGCAUCCUCCUGGGGAACGGUGCUGCGCUUGAUUGCGUGGUCCGGUAUUCAGGACUUUUACUUUGAGGAAAUUAGAGUGUUUACGGCAGGCAAGCGCCUUGAAUAUAUUAGCAUGGAAUAAUAACAUAGGACUUUGGUUCUAUUUUGUUGGUUUCUAGAACUAAGGUAAUGAUUAAUAGGGAUAAUUGGGGGCAUUCGUAUUAACACGUCAGAGGUGAAAUUCUUGGAUUGUGUUACGACGAACUACUGCGAAAGCAUUUGCCAAGGAUGUUUUCAUUGAUCAAGAACGAAAGUGCGGGGAUCGAAGACGAUUAGAUACCGUCGUAGUCUGCACCAUAA